AGUUGUAGGUUCUGCUGUUGUAGGUGCAACUGUUGUCAGUGCAGCAGUAGUUGUAGGUGCUGCUGUUGUUGUUGCAACAGUAGUAGGGGCUGCAGUUGUAGGUGAAGCAGUAAUUAUAGGUUGCACCGUUGUCGGAGCAGCAGUAGUUGUAGGUGCAGUUGUCGUAGGUGCAGCAGUAGUUGUAGGGGCUGCAGUUAUAGGUGCAGCAGUAGUUGUAAGUUGCACCGUUGUCGAAGCAGCAGUAGUUGUAGGUUGCACCGUUGUUGUUG
Long non-coding RNA from Notothenia coriiceps (black rockcod), 269 nucleotides. RefSeq lists it as uncharacterized. The record is from RefSeq and is a predicted model, not a curated record. The transcript has 3 exons. NCBI's taxonomy places the organism in Eukaryota, Metazoa, Chordata, Actinopteri, Perciformes, Nototheniidae.